UGGGGAAUUUUGGACAAUGGGCGCAAGCCUGAUCCAGCCAUGCCGCGUGCGGGAAGAAGGCCUUCGGGUUGUAAACCGCUUUUGUCAGGGAAGAAAUCUUCUGAGUUAAAUACCUCGGGGAGGAUGACGGUACCUGAAGAAUAAACACCGGCUAACUACGUGCCAGCAGCCGCGGUAAUACGUAGGGUGCAAGCGUUAAUCGGAAUUACUGGGCGUAAAGCGUGCGCAGGCGGUUUUGUAAGACAGAGGUGAAAUCCCCGGGCUCAACCUGGGAACUGCCUUUGUGACUGCAAGGCUUGAGUGCGGCAGAGGGGGGAUGGAAUUCCGCGUGUAGCAGUGAAAUGCGUAGAUAUGCGGAGGAACACCGAUGGCGAAGGCAAUCCCCUGGGCCUGCACUGACGCUCAUGCACGAAAGCGUGGGGAGCAAACAGGAUUAGAUAGCCCUGGUAGUCCACGCCCUAAACGAUGUCAACUGGUUGUUGGGAAGGUUCCUUCUCAGUAACGUAGCUAACGCGUGAAGUUGACCGCCUGGGGA
This 535-nucleotide ribosomal RNA is filed under the name uncultured bacterium. RNAcentral describes it as "partial 16S ribosomal RNA". It matches the Rfam family "Bacterial small subunit ribosomal RNA", at positions 355 to 879 of the family's 1533-position model. The record is from RNAcentral.